AUUCUGCUUAAGGUCUUCAAGUUCUUCACCUAAGAGAUCAUCAUUCUCCAAGUUCUCUCCUGCGUCUAGAAGGGAAUUUUCGAUUUCACGAUAAUCUCUUCAUCUUCUAUCGCUCAGUCAAGAUCAAGAUGAUCCUCCUCAGGAUUAUUCUCCUCCCAAUCCAUGUCGCCAUCAUCCGUCACUCCUUGCUAUGUGUCGUUGACAUCUUCCUGCAUAAACUCCUCUUCCUCCUCCCAGGUUUCUUCACUCUUAAUCUCCAUUUCUGAUGCGUUAAUUUCUGUAUUUUCAGGAUUAGCACUCGGUAAUUCUCCAAUAUGAAUUGCAUUGGAGAAUCUUGCUUCUAAAGGAGCUUCUUGAGCAUGAUUUUCCUCUUCUUCCACAGUUUGAUCAUACCAACUCUUCUCCUUGUCCAGCUGCUUCGAUAUAACCAAGAGGUCAGAUUUAUUACGAGGACCAAACGCUUCAUCAUCUUGUGUCAUAGUAUCAAAGUUUAGGCUUUUCUUUGCAGAGCUUCCCCAAUAGUAAGUUUCUCAGAGGCGAUCACGUGCUUCAAUUGAAUGUAGUCGCCUCUCUUUUUCAGAUUCAAGCGAAAAGGUCUUUCUCUGUUAAGAGCUUGAGAAGAAACUCCUUGUUUUACUCGUAGUGAAGAGAUCAAAGGAUCAGAGACCGUCAAUUGCGAGUCCGAGACAUGGGAUAAACCAGCAGAUUUUGAUGCUGCAGCUGGAGAUUUGUUCUGGUUCAUCCUGCGGGUCACAGCUCUUUCUUUUGAUGAGGAUGGCUUGUGAUUAUGGUUCUCCAGAGUGUCAUCAUAACGUCUUUUGCGACCUGAAUCCUUAAAGGGAGGGAUCUCGCGGACUGAAGAAGGGUUCUUAAUCUCUGAAGGUCUCAUAAGUUUCUCCCGUGUUCGGGGAAUUGAAGCUGUGCUCCAUUCAAUUCGUCGAUCAUAGCCCUGAGAGUCAUCCCUAGUCGUAUGAUGAUUUGAGUAGCGAGCAUUUGCAGGUGGGUUCCAGUUCUGAGAUCGAGAAUUGUCAAUACGACGCCAAGCAUGUUUAGAAUUAGCAUUUACAACUUGUUUGCCUUCUGUUUUUCUCCUGCGGUAGUCAGAGGUUGUUGGGUCUUCUUUAGCUUGUGUUGGCUUGACCAAGUCAGGUCUCCACCACGAAGGGUGAAUCCUUCCAUUUGUGCUGAGCUGGAGAGUUGCAGUAGGAGUAGAAAGAGUUAACUUCUUCCCUGAAGUCAGCUUUCCCAAGCUUUUGUCAUUAUCUUUUUCAAACGGUAACGUCUCCUUCUGAGCCACAAGGUUUAAAGGACAAGAUUCUUGUUCGUUGUAGAUCCUAUGACAAAGCUUACACCACCUAAAGAGUCUCUUGGAGCCGAGAGAUACCCAAACAAGCUCACCCGAAGGGAUUUAAGUCUUUUUGCGGAAUCUCAAGGGUUCAUCUGCCUUACUAGUGACUGUGUUAUUUUAAAGAUUGGAGAUGUACAACUUUUGUAAACUGUUGUCGUACUAAAUCGAACAAGACAAAGUUGAAAGACUUGUAGGUAACUGAAAACAACGGAAACAUGAGGAAUCUGCUUAUUAAGCCCAGUUGCGAUUCUCUCUUUAUUUGUUUCUUCUCUUCUCUUGUAAACAAGUGUAUCUUUUUGGUUCAUUUGUCUCUAACCUUUUUUGUAAUACAUUCUUCUUUUACUUAGAAAGUUCAUGUGCUUAA
RNAcentral lists this long non-coding RNA (1712 nucleotides) under Arabidopsis thaliana (thale cress). Its description in RNAcentral is "potential natural antisense gene, locus overlaps with AT1G29355 (AT1G29357)". Lineage: Eukaryota; Viridiplantae; Streptophyta; Magnoliopsida; Brassicales; Brassicaceae. The record is from RNAcentral.